UAUUGGACAAUGGGGGGUACCCUGAUCCAGCCAUGCCGCGUGUGUGAAGAAGGCCUUAUGGUUGUAAAGCACUUUAAGCGAGGAGGAGGCUACUGAGACUAAUACUCUUGGAUAGUGGGCGUUACUCGCAGAAUAAGCACCGGCUAACUCUGUGCCAGCAGCCGCGGUAAUACAGAGGGUGCGAGCGUUAAUCGGAUUUACUGGGCGUAAAGCGUGCGUAGGCGGCUUUUUAAGUCGGAUGUGAAAUCCCCGAGCUUAACUUGGGAAUUGCAUUCGAUACUGGGAAGCUAGAGUAUGGGAGAGGAUGGUAGAAUUCCAGGUGUAGCGGUGAAAUGCGUAGAGAUCUGGAGGAAUACCGAUGGCGAAGGCAGCCAUCUGGCCUAAUACUGACGCUGAGGUACGAAAGCAUGGGGAGCAAACAG
Molecule: ribosomal RNA, 422 nt
Filed under: uncultured bacterium
Lineage: Bacteria
Description: bacterial SSU rRNA
Rfam family: Bacterial small subunit ribosomal RNA
Source: RNAcentral